Molecule: ribosomal RNA, 378 nt
Filed under: Acartia sp.
Lineage: Eukaryota; Metazoa; Arthropoda; Copepoda; Calanoida; Acartiidae
Description: partial small subunit ribosomal RNA
Rfam family: Eukaryotic small subunit ribosomal RNA
Source: RNAcentral
AGCUCCAAUAGCGUAUACUAAUGUUGCUGUGGUUAAAAAGCUCGUAGUCGGAAGAUUGUCAAGUGGGAGCCCUGGCGCAAGCGCUAGCGGUUCUUAUUGAUUGGUUGGAAAGGACAAGUCAAUUGACUUUCAAAGGUUGAUUGAGCUGGGUCUGUGUUUACUUUGAAAAAACAAGAGUGCUAAAGGCAGACCAGUAGUCGGAAUAGUUGUGCAUGGAAUAAUAUAACAAGGAGUUGUGUAUGUUAUGUUGGUCUCAACCAUAACUUGAUGAUAAAUAGAGACUGACGGGGGCAUAUGUAUUCAAGCGCUAGAGGUGAAAUUCUUGGACCGUUUGAAGACAUCCAAAAGCGAAAGCAUAUGCCAAGUAUGUUUUCAUUG